UACGUAGGGUGCGAGCGUUAAUCGGAAUUACUGGGCGUAAAGCGUGCGCAGGCGGUUUUGUAAGCCAGAUGUGAAAUCCCCGGGCUUAACCUGGGAAUGGCAUUUGGGACUGCAAGGCUCGAGUGCGGCAGAGGAGACUGGAAUUCCUGGUGUAGCAGUGAAAUGCGUAGAUAUCAAGAGGAACACCAGUGGCGAAGGCGAGUCCCUGGACAAUACCUGACACUGAGGCACGAAAGCUAGGGGAGCAAACAGG
Molecule: ribosomal RNA, 253 nt
Filed under: uncultured bacterium
Lineage: Bacteria
Description: partial 16S ribosomal RNA
Rfam family: Bacterial small subunit ribosomal RNA
Source: RNAcentral